GACGAACGCUGGCGGCGUGCUUAACACAUGCAAGUCGAGCGGAAAGGCCCUGCUUGCAGGGUACUCGAGUGGCGAACGGGUGAGUAACACGUGGGUGAUCUGCCCUGCACUUCGGGAUAAGCUUGGGAAACUGGGUCUAAUACCGGAUAGGAACCAUCUUUAGUGUGGUGGUUGGAAAGUUUUUUCGGUGUAGGAUGAGCUCGCGGCCUAUCAGCUUGUUGGUGGGGUAAUGGCCUACCAAGGCGGCGACGGGUAGCCGGCCUGAGAGGGUGUACGGCCACAUUGGGACUGAGAUACGGCCCAGACUCCUACGGGAGGCAGCAGUGGGGAAGAUUGCACAAUGGGCGCAAGCCUGAUGCAGCGACGCCGCGUGGGGGAUGAAGGCCUUCGGGUUGUAAACUCCUUUCGCUAGGGACGAAGCUUUUUGUGACGGUACCUAGAUAAGAAGCACCGGCUAACUACGUG
This 465-nucleotide ribosomal RNA is filed under the name uncultured bacterium. RNAcentral describes it as "partial 16S ribosomal RNA". It matches the Rfam family "Bacterial small subunit ribosomal RNA", at positions 28 to 507 of the family's 1533-position model. The record is from RNAcentral.